Molecule: ribosomal RNA, 3531 nt
Filed under: Drosophila melanogaster (fruit fly)
Lineage: Eukaryota; Metazoa; Arthropoda; Insecta; Diptera; Drosophilidae
Description: eukaryotic LSU rRNA
Rfam family: Eukaryotic large subunit ribosomal RNA (bases 573-3531)
Source: RNAcentral
ACUCUAAGCGGUGGAUCACUCGGCUCAUGGGUCGAUGAAGAACGCAGCAAACUGUGCGUCAUCGUGUGAACUGCAGGACACAUGAACAUCGACAUUUUGAACGCAUAUCGCAGUCCAUGCUGUUAUGUACUUUAAUUAAUUUUAUAGUGCUGCUUGGACUACAUAUGGUUGAGGGUUGUAAGACUAUGCUAAUUAAGUUGCUUAUAAAUUUUUAUAAGCAUAUGGUAUAUUAUUGGAUAAAUAUAAUAAUUUUUAUUCAUAAUAUUAAAAAAUAAAUGAAAAACAUUAUCUCACAUUUGAAUGUGAAAAACGAAGAGAAAUAUUUUCUUUUUCAAUCAAAUAAUACUGAGAAAUGUCUAGCAUAAAAAAUUGAAAUAUUUUUCAUCUAGAAUUGUCUCUUAUUAAUGAUUCGGAAAUAGAAAAAUCUUGGUUAUGUUAUUAUUCUUCGUUGGUUCGUUAAAAAUGGAUAAAUAAAAACUUUGCAUACAAGAAUUAAUAAAAAUGUUAUAACGAAUUUAAUUAAAUGUUUUAUCAUUAUAUAUAAAGAAUUUAUGGCAAGAUAAAGUUAUAUACAACCUCAACUCAUAUGGGACUACCCCUGAAUUUAAGCAUAUUAAUUAGGGGAGGAAAAGAAACUAACAAGGAUUUUCUUAGUAGCGGCGAGCGAAAAGAAAACAGUUCAGCACUAAGUCACUUUGUCUAUAUGGCAAAUGUGAGAUGCAGUGUAUGGAGCGUCAAUAUUCUAGUAUGAGAAAUUAACGAUUUAAGUCCUUCUUAAAUGAGGCCAUUUACCCAUAGAGGGUGCCAGGCCCGUAUAACGUUAAUGAUUACUAGAUGAUGUUUCCAAAGAGUCGUGUUGCUUGAUAGUGCAGCACUAAGUGGGUGGUAAACUCCAUCUAAAACUAAAUAUAACCAUGAGACCGAUAGUAAACAAGUACCGUGAGGGAAAGUUGAAAAGAACUCUGAAUAGAGAGUUAAACAGUACGUGAAACUGCUUAGAGGUUAAGCCCGAUGAACCUGAAUAUCCGUUAUGGAAAAUUCAUCAUUAAAAUUGUAAUAUUUAAAUAAUAUUAUGAGAAUAGUGUGCAUUUUUUCCAUAUAAGGACAUUGUAAUCUAUUAGCAUAUACCAAAUUUAUCAUAAAAUAUAACUUAUAGUUUAUUCCAAUUAAAUUGCUUGCAUUUUAACACAGAAUAAAUGUUAUUAAUUUGAUAAAGUGCUGAUAGAUUUAUAUGAUUACAGUGCGUUAAUUUUUCGGAAUUAUAUAAUGGCAUAAUUAUCAUUGAUUUUUGUGUUUAUUAUAUGCACUUGUAUGAUUAACAAUGCGAAAGAUUCAGGAUACCUUCGGGACCCGUCUUGAAACACGGACCAAGGAGUCUAACAUAUGUGCAAGUUAUUGGGAUAUAAACCUAAUAGCGUAAUUAACUUGACUAAUAAUGGGAUUAGUUUUUUAGCUAUUUAUAGCUAAUUAACACAAUCCCGGGGCGUUCUAUAUAGUUAUGUAUAAUGUAUAUUUAUAUUAUUUAUGCCUCUAACUGGAACGUACCUUGAGCAUAUAUGCUGUGACCCGAAAGAUGGUGAACUAUACUUGAUCAGGUUGAAGUCAGGGGAAACCCUGAUGGAAGACCGAAACAGUUCUGACGUGCAAAUCGAUUGUCAGAAUUGAGUAUAGGGGCGAAAGACCAAUCGAACCAUCUAGUAGCUGGUUCCUUCCGAAGUUUCCCUCAGGAUAGCUGGUGCAUUUUAAUAUUAUAUAAAAUAAUCUUAUCUGGUAAAGCGAAUGAUUAGAGGCCUUAGGGUCGAAACGAUCUUAACCUAUUCUCAAACUUUAAAUGGGUAAGAACCUUAACUUUCUUGAUAUGAAGUUCAAGGUUAUGAUAUAAUGUGCCCAGUGGGCCACUUUUGGUAAGCAGAACUGGCGCUGUGGGAUGAACCAAACGUAAUGUUACGGUGCCCAAAUUAACAACUCAUGCAGAUACCAUGAAAGGCGUUGGUUGCUUAAAACAGCAGGACGGUGAUCAUGGAAGUCGAAAUCCGCUAAGGAGUGUGUAACAACUCACCUGCCGAAGCAACUAGCCCUUAAAAUGGAUGGCGCUUAAGUUGUAUACCUAUACAUUACCGCUAAAGUAGAUGAUUUAUAUUACUUGUGAUAUAAAUUUUGAAACUUUAGUGAGUAGGAAGGUACAAUGGUAUGCGUAGAAGUGUUUGGCGUAAGCCUGCAUGGAGCUGCCAUUGGUACAGAUCUUGGUGGUAGUAGCAAAUAAUCGAAUGAGACCUUGGAGGACUGAAGUGGAGAAGGGUUUCGUGUGAACAGUGGUUGAUCACGAGUUAGUCGGUCCUAAGUUCAAGGCGAAAGCCGAAAAUUUUCAAGUAAAACAAAAAUGCCUAACUAUAUAAACAAAGCGAAUUAUAAUACACUUGAAUAAUUUUGAACGAAAGGGAAUACGGUUCCAAUUCCGUAACCUGUUGAGUAUCCGUUUGUUAUUAAAUAUGGGCCUCGUGCUCAUCCUGGCAACAGGAACGACCAUAAAGAAGCCGUCGAGAGAUAUCGGAAGAGUUUUCUUUUCUGUUUUAUAGCCGUACUACCAUGGAAGUCUUUCGCAGAGAGAUAUGGUAGAUGGGCUAGAAGAGCAUGACAUAUACUGUUGUGUCGAUAUUUUCUCCUCGGACCUUGAAAAUUUAUGGUGGGGACACGCAAACUUCUCAACAGGCCGUACCAAUAUCCGCAGCUGGUCUCCAAGGUGAAGAGUCUCUAGUCGAUAGAAUAAUGUAGGUAAGGGAAGUCGGCAAAUUAGAUCCGUAACUUCGGGAUAAGGAUUGGCUCUGAAGAUUGAGAUAGUCGGGCUUGAUUGGGAAACAAUAACAUGGUUUAUGUGCUCGUUCUGGGUAAAUAGAGUUUCUAGCAUUUAUGUUAGUUACUUGUUCCCCGGAUAGUUUAGUUACGUAGCCAAUUGUGGAACUUUCUUGCUAAAAUUUUUAAGAAUACUAUUUGGGUUAAACCAAUUAGUUCUUAUUAAUUAUAACGAUUAUCAAUUAACAAUCAAUUCAGAACUGGCACGGACUUGGGGAAUCCGACUGUCUAAUUAAAACAAAGCAUUGUGAUGGCCCUAGCGGGUGUUGACACAAUGUGAUUUCUGCCCAGUGCUCUGAAUGUCAAAGUGAAGAAAUUCAAGUAAGCGCGGGUCAACGGCGGGAGUAACUAUGACUCUCUUAAGGUAGCCAAAUGCCUCGUCAUCUAAUUAGUGACGCGCAUGAAUGGAUUAACGAGAUUCCUACUGUCCCUAUCUACUAUCUAGCGAAACCACAGCCAAGGGAACGGGCUUGGAAUAAUUAGCGGGGAAAGAAGACCCUUUUGAGCUUGACUCUAAUCUGGCAGUGUAAGGAGACAUAAGAGGUGUAGAAUAAGUGGGAGAUAUUAGACCUCGGUUUGGUAUCGUCAAUGAAAUACCACUACUCUUAUUGUUUCCUUACUUACUUGAUUAAAUGGAACGUGUAUCAUUUCCUAGCCAUUAUACGGAUAUAUUUAUUAUAU